Molecule: ribosomal RNA, 328 nt
Filed under: uncultured eukaryote
Lineage: Eukaryota
Description: partial 18S ribosomal RNA
Rfam family: Eukaryotic small subunit ribosomal RNA
Source: RNAcentral
CCCUUAGACGUUCUGGGCCGCACGCGCGCUACACUGACGAAGGCAACGAGCUUUCCUUUACCGAAAGGUACGGGUAAUCUUUUGAAACUUCGUCGUGCUGGGGAUAGAUCCUUGCAAUUUUUGAUCUUAAACGAGGAAUGCCUAGUAAGCGCAAGUCAUCAACUUGCGUUGAUUACGUCCCUGCCCUUUGUACACACCGCCCGUCGCUACUACCGAUUGAAUGGUUUAGUGAGGACUCCUGAUUGGCGCCGCCGCCCCGGCAACGGAGCAGCGGACUGCCGAAAAGUUGUUCAAACUUGAUCAUUUAGAGGAAGUAAAAGUCGUAACA